RNAcentral lists this ribosomal RNA (422 nucleotides) under uncultured Lachnospiraceae bacterium. RNAcentral's name for it is "bacterial SSU rRNA". It matches the Rfam family "Bacterial small subunit ribosomal RNA", at positions 355 to 794 of the family's 1533-position model. Lineage: Bacteria; Bacillati; Bacillota; Clostridia; Lachnospirales; Lachnospiraceae. The record is from RNAcentral.
UGGGGAAUAUUGCACAAUGGGGGAAACCCUGAUGCAGCGACGCCGCGUGAGUGAAGAAGUAUUUCGGUAUGUAAAGCUCUAUCAGCAGGGAAGAAAACGACGGUACCUGACUAAGAAGCACCGGCUAAAUACGUGCCAGCAGCCGCGGUAAUACGUAUGGUGCAAGCGUUAUCCGGAUUUACUGGGUGUAAAGGGUGCGUAGGUGGUAUGGCAAGUCAGAAGUGAAAACACGGGGCUCAACCCCGUGACUGCUUUUGAAACUGUCAGACUAGAGUACAGGAGAGGCAAGCGGAAUUCCUAGUGUAGCGGUGAAAUGCGUAGAUAUUAGGAGGAACACCAGUGGCGAAGGCGGCUUGCUGGACUGUUACUGACACUGAGGCACGAAAGCGUGGGGAGCAAACAGGAUUAGAUACCCUGGUAGU